RNAcentral lists this ribosomal RNA (429 nucleotides) under Gemmatimonadota bacterium. Its description in RNAcentral is "Gemmatimonadetes bacterium partial 16S ribosomal RNA". It matches the Rfam family "Bacterial small subunit ribosomal RNA", at positions 355 to 776 of the family's 1533-position model. Lineage: Bacteria; Pseudomonadati; Gemmatimonadota. The record is from RNAcentral.
UAGGGAAUCUUCGGCAAUGGACGAAAGUCUGACCGAGCAACGCCGCGUGAGUGAAGAAGGUUUUCGGAUCGUAAAACUCUGUUGUUAGAGAAGAACAAGGACGUUAGUAACUGAACGUCCCCUGACGGUAUCUAACCAGAAAGCCACGGCUAACUACGUGCCAGCAGCCGCGGUAAUACGUAGGUGGCAAGCGUUGUCCGGAUUUAUUGGGCGUAAAGCGAGCGCAGGCGGUUUCUUAAGUCUGAUGUGAAAGCCCCCGGCUCAACCGGGGAGGGUCAUUGGAAACUGGGAGACUUGAGUGCAGAAGAGGAGAGUGGAAUUCCAUGUGUACCGGUGAAAUGCGUAGAUAUAUGGAGGAACACCAGUGGCGAAGGCGGCUCUCUGGUCUGUAACUGACGCUGAGGCUCGAAAGCGUGGGGAGCAAACAGG